ACUCAAAUGAAUUGACGGGGACCCGCACAAGCGGUGGAGCAUGUGGUUUAAUUGGAUGGUAAGCCGGGCACCUCACCAAGGUUUGACAUCCCAGUGAAAGGCACUAGAAAUAGAGCCCCUCUUCGGACACUGGAGACAGGUGCUGCACGGUUGUCGUCAGCUCGUGUUGUGAAAUGUACCGUUAAGUCGGAUAACGAGCGCAACCCCUAUUGCCAGUUACAAGUGUCUGGCGAGACUGCCGUGGUUAACACGGAGGAAGGUGGGGAUGACGUCAAAUCAGCGUGGCCUUUAUACCUUGGGCGACACACGUGCUACAAUGGGUAGGUAACAAUGGGUUGCCAAGUCGUAAGACGGAGCUAAUCCCACCAAAACUACCCUCAGUUCAGAUUGAGGUCUGCAACUCGACCUCAUGAAGUUGGAAUCGCUAGUAACCGCAAAUCAGCCAUGUUGCGGUGAAUACGUUCUCGGGUCUUGUACACACCGCCCGU
Molecule: ribosomal RNA, 488 nt
Filed under: uncultured bacterium
Lineage: Bacteria
Description: partial 16S ribosomal RNA
Rfam family: Bacterial small subunit ribosomal RNA
Source: RNAcentral